Molecule: non-coding RNA, 74 nt
Organism: Pteropus alecto (black flying fox)
Lineage: Eukaryota; Metazoa; Chordata; Mammalia; Chiroptera; Pteropodidae
Source: Rfam
GGCUCCAUAAUGUAGUGGUUAGCACAUCAGCUUUACACACAGAAGGUCCUGGGUUUGCGCCCCAGGUGGAGCCA